RNAcentral lists this ribosomal RNA (1435 nucleotides) under Candidatus Phytoplasma luffae. RNAcentral describes it as "bacterial SSU rRNA". It matches the Rfam family "Bacterial small subunit ribosomal RNA". The record is from RNAcentral. Lineage: Bacteria; Bacillati; Mycoplasmatota; Mollicutes; Acholeplasmatales; Acholeplasmataceae.
CAUGCAAGUCGAACGCAGACUUUGCAAAGAGUUUUAGUGGCGAACGGGUGAGUAACACGUAAGUAACCUGCCUUUAAGACGAGGGUAACAAAUGGAAACAUUUGCUAAGACUGGAUAGGAAACAAGAAGGCAUCUUUUUGUUUUUAAAAGACCUCCUAAAAAAAGGUAUGCUUAAAGAGGGGCUUGCGCCACAUUAGUUUGUUGGUAAGGUAAUGGCUUACCAAGACUAUGAUGUGUAGCUGGACUGAGAGGUUGAACAGCCACAUUGGGACUGAGACACGGCCCAAACUCCUACGGGAGGCAGCAGUAGGGAAUUUUCGGCAAUGGAGGAAACUCUGACCGAGCAAUGCCGCGUGAACGAUGAAGUAUUUCGGUAUGUAAAGUUCUUUUAUUGAAGAAGAAAAAUAGUGGAAAAACUAUCUUGGACGCUAUUCAAUGAAUAAGCCCCGGUUAACUAUGUGCCAGCAGCCGCGGUAAGACAUAGGGGGCGAGCGUUAUCCGGAAUUAUUGGGCGUAAAGGGUGCGUAGGCGGUUAGUUAAGUCUAUAAUUUAAUUUCAACGCUUAACGUUGUUUUGUUAUAGAAACUGCCUAACUAGAGUGAGAUAGAGGCAAGUGGAAUUCCAUGUGUAGCGGUAAAAUGUGUAAAUAUAUGGAGGAACACCAGAAGCGUAGGCGGCUUGCUGGGUCUUUACUGACGCUGAGGCACGAAAGCGUGGGUAGCAAACAGGAUUAGAUACCCUGGUAGUCCACGCCGUAAACGAUGAGUACUAAGUGUCAGGGUAAAACUUGGUACUGAAGUUAACACAUUAAGUACUCCGCCUGAGUAGUACGUACGCAAGUAUGAAACUUAAAGGAAUUGACGGGACUCCGCACAAGCGGUGGAUCAUGUUGUUUAAUUCGAAGAUACACGAAAAACCUUACCAGGUCUUGACAUACUCUGCAAAGUUAUAGAAAUAUAAUGGAGGUUAUCAGGGAUACAGGUGGUGCAUGGUUGUCGUCAGCUCGUGUCGUGAGAUGUUAGGUUAAGUCCUAAAACGAGCGCAACCCUUGUCGUUAGUUACCAGCACGUAAAGGUGGGGACUUUAGCGAGACUGCCAAUUAAAAAUUGGAGGAAGGGUGAGGAUUACGUCAAAUCAUCAUGCCCCUUAUGAUCUGGGCUACAAACGUGAUACAAUGGCUGUUACAAAGAGUAGCUGAAACGUGAGUUUUUAGCCAAUCUCAAAAAAGCAGUCUCAGUUCGGAUUGAAGUCUGCAACUCGACUUCAUGAAGUUGGAAUCGCUAGUAAUCGCGAAUCAGCAUGUCGCGGUGAAUACGUUCUCGGGGUUUGUACACACCGCCCGUCAAACCAUGAAAGUGGACAAUACCCAAAAGCAGUGGCUUAAUUUCGUAAGAAAAGGGAACUGUCUAAGGUAGGGUCGAUGAUUGGGGUUAAG